AGCCACACGAAGACCAAAGUGAAGAGCAAGGAGCUGAACUCCACGCAGAACACAGCGCAGCGUCCUUUAAAGGAAGGCCAAAAACAACCCAACAAAAAUGCCAGGUGAUCAAAGCCGUCACAGCACAAUGUCCACAUCCAACGAGAAAUUGCUGCUAUGUCCAGACGCAGGGAAAGGUGGCCGUGGGAACGUGAGUCAGCAGCAACAGGCCCAGAAGGGCAGCCAUGGUGGACUUGUCAGACGUGGACCCUGAAAUGACAAUCACAGCGUGAUUUCAGGCAGGAGCCUGAAAUGGUACAGCUUUGGACAUCGGUUUGGCAAAUUCUUUUAGAGAGAAACACACACCUUCCCUAGGACCCCGCAACUCCACUCCUAGUAACCAAGUGAAAUGGAAGGAGUUGUCCUCAGCAAAACGUGUGUGCGGAAGUUCACAGUCACUUUCUCUGUGAUAACCAAGAGCUGGAAACCACUGCAACACCCACCAGCAGGUGAACGGAUUAACACACUGGGCUAGGGCCACACAAUGAGAUGCUACGUGGCAACACAAAAUGAACCGUGGACACACACUGCAUGGCGGAUGAAUAUGCAGACAUCAGGCCACGUGAAGGGAGCCAGGCCCCGAGGCGCCACGCUUUGUGAUUCAGGGAAGAAAGCACGCAGCCAAAGAGCGUAAAGAGGCUCAGAGGAGGCCCGGGUGCCCUGGAGAGACGCUGCGUCCUGCUGCUCUUUCCCUGACUGUGGAGACAGACUGCCCAGUCUCCUGCAGCAUUUCAGUUACACACACAGCAUUCCUGUCCCGCAGCAGAGAUUUCCCAGAUGAAGGAUUCCCCGGCGGGAGACGGCCCUGCACACAGGUCCUCUGCCACGCUGCUCACCAUGCCUGUGUGUUAUCUCCCCAUGAAAAGUCACCUAGGCCGAGCAUGGUGGCUCACGCCUGUAAUCCCAGCACUUUGGGAGGUGGAGGCGUGCGGAUCAUCUGAGAUCAGGAGUUUGAGACCA
This 999-nucleotide long non-coding RNA is filed under the name Pan troglodytes (chimpanzee). RNAcentral's name for it is "long non-coding RNA NONPTRT000815". Lineage: Eukaryota; Metazoa; Chordata; Mammalia; Primates; Hominidae. The record is from RNAcentral.